ACGCUGGCGGCAGGCUUAACACAUGCAAGUCGAGCGCCCCGCAAGGGGAGCGGCAGACGGGUGAGUAACGCGUGGGAAUCUACCUUUUGCUACGGAAUAACUCAGGGAAACUUGUGCUAAUACCGUAUGUGCCCUUCGGGGGAAAGAUUUAUCGGCAAAGGAUGAGCCCGCGUUGGAUUAGCUAGUUGGUGAGGUAAAGGCUCACCAAGGCGACGAUCCAUAGCUGGUCUGAGAGGAUGAUCAGCCACACUGGGACUGAGACACGGCCCAGACUCCUACGGGAGGCAGCAGUGGGGAAUAUUGGACAAUGGGCGCAAGCCUGAUCCAGCCAUGCCGCGUGAGUGAUGAAGGUCUUAGGAUUGUAAAGCUCUUUCACCGGUGAAGAUAAUGACGGUAACCGGAGAAGAAGCCCCGGCUAACUUCGUGCCAGCAGCCGCGGUAAUACGGAGGAUCCAAGCGUUAUCCGGAAUCAUUGGGUUUAAAGGGUCCGUAGGCGGUUUAAUAAGUCAGUGGUGAAAGCCCAUCGCUCAACGGUGGAACGGCCAUUGAUACUGUUAGACUUGAAUUAUUAGGAAGUAACUAGAAUAUGUAGUGUAGCGGUGAAAUGCUUAGAGAUUACAUGGAAUACCAAUUGCGAAGGCAGGUUACUACUAAUUGAUUGAGGCUGAUGGACGAAAGCGUGGGUAGCGAAC
Molecule: ribosomal RNA, 692 nt
Filed under: uncultured bacterium
Lineage: Bacteria
Description: bacterial SSU rRNA
Rfam family: Bacterial small subunit ribosomal RNA
Source: RNAcentral